UUGUCAGUGAGGUAUAUCCUUACCUGUUACCUUAGUAAUAAGGUUUCAGAACAUGAUGAUUGGAUUCAAUGAAUACGUGAUUAUUUUCCGUAUUUGUAAAAGAAUUGCAACUCUUUUACGAAUCCUGUCUGAA
This is a small nucleolar RNA of Xyrauchen texanus (razorback sucker), 133 nucleotides long. RefSeq annotates it as U8 small nucleolar RNA. The transcript has a single exon. NCBI's taxonomy places the organism in Eukaryota, Metazoa, Chordata, Actinopteri, Cypriniformes, Catostomidae. The record is from RefSeq and is a predicted model, not a curated record.